RNAcentral lists this ribosomal RNA (460 nucleotides) under uncultured bacterium. Its description in RNAcentral is "partial 16S ribosomal RNA". It matches the Rfam family "Bacterial small subunit ribosomal RNA", at positions 338 to 795 of the family's 1533-position model. The record is from RNAcentral.
CCUACGGGGGGCAGCAGUGAGGAAUAUUGGUCAAUGGACGAGAGUCUGAACCAGCCAAGUAGCGUGAAGGAUGACUGCCCUAUGGGUUGUAAACUUCUUUUAUAUGGGAAUAAAACAGGGUAUGCAUACCCUCUUGUAUGUACCAUAUGAAUAAGGAUCGGCUAACUCCGUGCCAGCAGCCGCGGUAAUACGGAGGAUCCGAGCGUUAUCCGGAUUUAUUGGGUUUAAAGGGAGCGUAGGUGGAUUGUUAAGUCAGUUGUGAAAGUUUGCGGCUCAACCGUAAAAUUGCAGUUGAAACUGGCAGUCUUGAGUACAGUAGAGGUGGGCGGAAUUCGUGGUGUAGCGGUGAAAUGCUUAGAUAUCAUGAAGAACUCCGAUCGCGAAGGCAAGUGUCCGGGGUGCAACUGACGCUGAGGCUCGAAAGUGCGGGUAUCAAACAGGAUUAGAUACCCUGGUAGUC